GAACGCUGGCGGCGUGCUUAACACAUGCAAGUCGAACGGAAAGGCCCUGCUUGCAGGGUACUCGAGUGGCGAACGGGUGAGUAACACGUGGGUGAUCUGCCCUGCACUUCGGGAUAAGCCUGGGAAACUGGGUCUAAUACCGGAUAUGACCUUCCAUGUAGUGUGGGGGGUGGAAAGAUUUAUCGGUGUGGGAUGAGCCCGCGGCCUAUCAGCUUGUUGGUGGGGUAAUGGCCUACCAAGGCGUCGACGGGUAGCCGGCCUGAGAGGGUGGACGGCCACAUUGGGACUGAGAUACGGCCCAGACUCCUACGGGAGGCAGCAGUGGGGAAUAUUGCACAAUGGGCGGAAGCCUGAUGCAGCGACGCCGCGUGGGGGAUGACGGCCUUCGGGUUGUAAACCUCUUUCGACAGGGACGAAGCUUCGGUGACGGUACCUGUAUAAGAAGCACCGGCUAACUACGUG
Molecule: ribosomal RNA, 462 nt
Filed under: uncultured bacterium
Lineage: Bacteria
Description: partial 16S ribosomal RNA
Rfam family: Bacterial small subunit ribosomal RNA
Source: RNAcentral